Molecule: long non-coding RNA, 12155 nt
Organism: Chelonia mydas (Green sea turtle)
Lineage: Eukaryota; Metazoa; Chordata; Testudines; Cheloniidae
Exons: 4
Source: RefSeq, a predicted model, not a curated record
AUUUAUUUAAAUUUGCCUGUAUCUUUCUUGUACAGAAAUACCAGAAAUGAAGCACUUUUCCAGAUGCAGUCUGCAUUAACGAAUAGAAAGAGGCUCCCUCAUGUGGUGUAUCUGCAUAGUCUCAUCAAAAAAACAAACAAAAAAGGUAAACCACCAACCCCAAACUAUAUCACUCACCCACCCUUCACUUUGACCUCUUAUUUUUUUUGCUUAUUGGGAAGGUAUUGUUGGAUGUACAUUUCUGUGUAGUUUAUUAAAUGUGUAGUAAUUAAAUGCAUAGAGAACAAAUAUAAUUCCAUUGAAUGUUACAUCAAUGUGGGUCUGAGGUAGACAUAUAUUAACAGGAUUAACACAAAAACUCUUAUCCUCACUGAAAAGUAAGCCCUACAAUAUUGCGUAAGUAGGAGAUAUUAAAAUUCAACCUUGAUAAAUGACUGCCUUUCCCCCCUACCACUCAUCCCUGCAUGCCUCACUCCCAUCUCCCCAUCUUCCCCCAUACCCUCCUUCCUUGAUCCCCAUACCUGCCUACUUGCUAAUUGCAAGACCCCUCUACCUCCCUGCUAAACCCUGUACUCCCCUCCCUGCUAAUUCCCACACUCCCUUUCUCCCUAUAAGCCCCACAUUCACCUCCAUGCCUUUCCCUGUACCCUUCUCCCCCUGCAUGCACCACCACCAACCCUUUCUGGCAAUACCUACAUUUCCUCUCCAUGCCCUGCCAGUUUGUGAUUGCUCUUCCUCUAUACACCAACUCCUGCUUCCCCCAGAUCCCUGUGUUCCAACAUACAUGCACCCAAAUCCAUAUUCCAUAUCCCCAAUGUACUUUCUGGUCUACUUUACAUUCAACAUGGCAUAUGUCCCUGCACAUUCCCUUCCAACUCCACCUUCUACCCACCCACACAUGCCCUUCCCACCAGCAACUGGGCCAGCACAUGAAGAUGCCACUUCACUGCCUACAGUGAAUAACAGGUGAGCUUUAGUUUAUGUUUUUAAACAAUUGUAGACAUUCUUCUGACUAUCCAUAAACAAAUCUGUAAGAGUGUGACUUAAGGCAGUAACCAUUCUGUUCUGUACCUAGUUAUGAAAACAACUCUGUAAGAGCACGACGUGGGUGACAGCCAUGCGAUAACAGAAAAGGAACAAGCAGAAACUAAAAACAAACAAAAUGCCUCAUCUGGCCAUUUUAAUGCACAUGCAUAUCCAUGCAGAUGAUUUCCCAACCACAGGUCAGCAUACAGGCAUCAGACUACUCCACCUCCAUAAUCUUUAUACCACCUUCACCCCAAAAACCAGGAAACAAAUGAUAGCUUGUUUCAGCCAAGAAAAAUGCAAGUACUUCCAUCAAUUUACAAAAUCUCAUGUAAAGUUUCCCAUUUCCUUCUUGCUCUGUGUGGUUGGGCAAACACUUCUUUCCAUCUCGGCCCAUCACACAGUUUUCUUCCACCUCACUUUGUAGCCACACCAAAUGAAGUCCUAGUUAACUUACCUGCUUACCUUAGGUAAGAUCUACACUACAGUGUUUUGUCAGGAUAGUUAUGUCAUUCAGGGGUCUGAAAAAAUGUCACCCCAGCUGACAUAGCUAAGUUAGCAGAAACCCCAGUAUAGAUGCAGCUAAACCAAAAGAAGAGUGCUUCUGAUAGCAUAAGUAAUCGUUUGAAGAGGCAAGUGUUACUACGCUGACAAAAAAAGCUCCUUCUGUUAGUAUAAAACUAUGUCUACAUUGUUUGGGCUCUGCAGGCAUAGCUAUAGACUUUAACUAUACUGUCAAAGCAUCUAUACUGUAGACAAGGCCUGAGUGUAUUGUAUGUUCAUUUCACAAGUUGUUAUUGUAUAUCUUUAAUUCCUUCAUUUAUCCCUACAAAGCAAACAAGCACUUCUCAAACAAGACCAAUAAAACCAAUUUUGAGUUAGUAAGUCAAGCCAUUUUGAAGAUAUGAUGAUCUAUAAUGCAACACCAAGUUUUGUUUGCUUUUUUGUUUUGUUUUUUUGCCAUAUACCAGAAUGAACUUGUAUACAAUUUGCUGUCUUCUAUCAGCAACUUAUCUUCCCAAUAACCGCAUGUGUUCUGUAUUAUUUUUCCCAGAUGUAUUAACAUGCACUUUUGCAGGCUCAAUCUCAUUUUAUUAUUUCCUGCUCAUAUUUCCACUCUCCCUAGGUCCCUUUGUAUUAUGUCUCUGCUCUCACUGGUGUUUGCAUUACCUACCAAUUUAUUAUCUGUGAAUUUAAUUGAUGUGCUGUUUAUCUUAUUCUCCAGAUCAUUCAUAAAGCUGUUAAACAAAACUGGACCUUACACCAACCCCCGAAGCACCCCGCUAAACACAUUACCCUGCUAAAUGUAUUCCUAUUUAUCACUAUCCUUUGUUUAUGCCCUUAAGGAAGUUUGUCGUCCAUAAGGCAGUCAUCGCAUCCACACAAAUUUAAUUUUUUCAUAUACUUGGUGAAGCAGAGCAUCAGUGCCUUACUAAUAACCCUCUCUGUUGGUGUACAUCUAUUGCAUUUUGUUCAUAAAGGAUUCCCUUCCUUUAAUCAAGGAACAUGAACUCAAGCAAUGAACAGAAAUGAGGGGAAAAAAAUAGAGAUAGUAAUAAAGAGAUGAAUGAAAAGCAAAGUGGGAUGUUAACAAGAAACGAAACAAGAAUGCAGUGAAUUAGUAUUUAAAAUUCAAAUUAGGAUAAAAACAUAAUAUUUGAAAUUUCAAAUAUGUCUGACUUGGUUUGUUACCAAGUUACCUUCACUGCUUCACUGAAAACGAUGUAGAAUGUAACAAGUUAAACAGCUAACCCAAUACUACUGAUAAGAAAUUCUUGCUAUUUGAUGGUGUGCAGUCACAGCAGAUUCCCAAUCUUGGUUCUAUGCUUUAUGCAUAUAAGAGGAGGAAAUACCUAGGUAAGGAUUAUAUUUCCUUUUACGGGGGGGAAAUGGACACAGAGGCCAGGAAACUCCAUGAGCGUCAGCUUACCAGUCUGUUGGGGAGGAAAAACUGGAGAGUGCAGUUUACUCACACAACUCCACAUAAUAGACAGGGAGAUAAGAGCCAAACACACAUACAGGUAUCUUGAGAUUCACAGCGUAGUAUCACAUAUCUUCCGACACACGCCAAUGACUGGGACAUUAAUGCAGAGGCCCAGUGCAUCUGCAGUACUCAACGGGCUCCAUGCUAUACCCCUAAGGGCCCUGCUUCCCUAAACUACUAAACCAGGAGUGAUGUUUAAUGUACAGGAGAGACUGACCACCGCUUCCAACUAUGUUCCCAACACAUACUCUAUGGAACACAUAUCCAAAAAAACUGAGACAGAGGAUAAAGGAAAAAUGAAGACCUUGAUGUACUAAUUUCCAAUGGAUUUUUCUCCUUUCUAAUCAUAGAACAGAGGGGGGCAAACUACGGCCAGCAGGCCACAUCUGGCCCCCGAGCUCCUGCCAGGGAGUGGGAUCAGGACAGGCUCGCAGAGGAGCAAGCCCAACUCCCCGGCAGCGCGGUGAGUGGGGCAGAGGCUAGCCCCUGGCCCCUCCCCUUUUGCUCCCCUCCCUCCCUCGCAGUCACAGUUCCCCCAGCACCUGGGCAGCGUGGCUGCAGCUCCGGCCAGGUGGCAUGGCUAUAGCGCUGCCAGGCCUGGUGCCCCAGGGGGCUUCCCUCCACCUCCAGCAUGCUUGGCCCCUGUCCCCAGCAGCCAAGCCCAGACAGGGAGCGAGCCCUGCCCGACUGCCAGGGAGAGCAGCCAAACGAGAGGGGAAAUACACAGGGAAAGGACUGAGACCCCCUUUCCCCCACCCCACAGGUAACAUGGGGUGGGGAGAGCAGGGAGGAUUGGAUAGAGGGUGAGAGGCUCCAGGGAGUGGGGAGCAGGGGAGAUUACAUAGGGGCGGGGAGUCCCAGGGGUGGUCAGGGGGUGGGGAGCAGGGUGGAUUGGAUAGGGGAUGGGCAUCCCGGGGGGAUGGUCAGGGGGCAGAGAGCAGGGGUGUUUGGAUAGGAUGCAGGAGUCCCGGGGGCAGCCAGGGGUGGGGAGCAAGAGGGGUUGGAUGGGGGUGGGAGUUCCGGGGGGGCUGGAAUGGGGGCGGGGGCCAGGCCACGCCUUGCUGUUUUGGGAGGCAUAGCCUCCCCCAGCCUUCCCUACCCUGCACUCCAUAUAGUUUCUGUACCAGAUGUGGCCCUAGGUCUAAAAAGUUUGCCCACCCCUGUCACAGAGGGAUGGCUUACUGGACGGGAACCAUAUGCACAUUAGUUUUGUGCUGUCAAGGGUAGUGUUAUACUUGCCAAUGCAAGGGGAUAUGGCAAUUGCAGAACCUUAGAGGUUAGUCCCUUUCUAACAAAACAAACAAAUUAUAAUAAUAAUAAAGAACAAUUUGUAAGGAUAGACUAAUAUCUGUCUUCCAAUUCUGUAGAGAGGGUGGAUUGGUGGGUGUGGCAGUACUCAACUACCAUCAGAACAAGAAUUACAGAGAAUAUUCUUUUGUAAAGGUCACAGCAGUUAUCCACUGUUAAACUAAUGGGCUCCCAUUAUCUCUCUGCACAGAAAAUAAAAGCCUUCUGCAACUGUAGGAUGAAGGAACAGUGCUCACUAGAAUGGGAAUACAGGCGUGGAAAGAAAAGUGACAGAAGGAUUGACUGUUGACAGUCUAAUUUUGCCACUGUUUCUGUUGGAUCAUUCCCUAAAUUUUCAAAAGCAGGGGACAGUUUUGGAGUGAAAAGUGGGGAGGGGAAAAAUGUGAGUGUUUGGAGAUAAGGGUUUUAAAACCCAACCUUUUAGAAAAUUCAAAAAUGGGGUUUGUUCUUAGUUUUAAAAAUACACUAACCAACGGCAAUCUUUUAUUUUAAAUGAACCUUGACUAGUCUUACAUUGUUAUAGCUACAAUUUAUGGUGUGUGUUCUACCAUUUACACAUCUAAGCAGUUGACUGCAUUCUUAAAUCAGGUGUUCAAAUCAUAGAAUCAGAGAAAUGUAGGACUGGAAGGGACCUUGAUAGGUCAUAUAGUCCAGUGCCCUGGACUGAGGCAGGACUAAGUAUUAUCGAGACCAUUCCUGACAAGUGUUUGUAUAACCUGUUCUUAAAAACCUCCAGUGACAGGGAUUCCACAACCUCCCUACAUAAUAUAGUCCCGCGCUUAACUACCCUUACAGUUUGGAAGUUUUACCUACUAUCUAACCUAAAUCUCCCUUCCUGUAUUUUAAGCCCAUUACUUCUCGUCCUGUCCUUGGUGGUUAAAGAGAACAAUUUAUCACCCUCUUCUUUAUAACAACCAUUUACAUACUUGAAGACUUACAAUGAGCUCCCUUUGUCUUCUCUUCUCCAGACUAAAAAAACCCCAUUUUUUUCAAUGUAUCCUUCUAGGUCAUGCUUUCUAGACCUUUCAUCACUUUUAUUGCUCUCCUUUCUCCCAUUUGUCCAUGUCUUUCCCCAAAGUGUGGUGCCCAGAUCUGGACACAAUCCUCCAGCUGAGGCCUUAUCAGUGCUGAAUAGAGUGGAAGAAUCACUUCUUGUGUCUUGCUUACAAUACUCCUGCUAAUACAUCCCAGAAUGAUGUUUGCUUUUUUUGCAACAAUAUUACAUUGUUUACUCAUAUUUAGUUUGUGAUACAUUAUAGAACCCCUUUCUUCAGUACUCCUUCCAAAGCAGUCAUUUCCCAUUUUGGAUUUGUGCAAUUGAUUAUUCCUUCCUAAGUGCAAUACUCGGAAUUUGUCCUCAUUGAAUUUCAUCCUAUUUAUUUCAGACCAUUUCUCCAGUUUGUGAAGAUAAUUUUGAAUUCUAAUCCUGUCCUCCAAAGUUCAUGAAAUCCCUCCAGCUUGGUAUCAUCUGUAAUUAUAAGUUUACUCUGUAUGCCAUUAUCCAAAUCAUUUAUGAAGAUAUUUAACAGAACCGAACGCAGGAUGGAUCCCUGCAAGACCACACUCAAUAAGCCCUUCUAGCUUGAUUGUGAAACACUGAUAACUACUCUCUGAGUGUGGUUUUCCAACUAGUUGUGCACCUGCCUUAUAGGAGGUUUGUCUAGGAUAUAUUUCUCUCAUUUGUUUAUGAGAUGGUCAUGUGACACGAUAUCAAAAGCCUUACUACAGUUGAGCAAUAUCACAUCUACUGCUUCCCUGCUAUCCACAAAGCUUGUUACCCUGUCAAAGAAGGAUUGUAAAUUGGUCUGACAUGUUUUGUUCUUGACAAAUCCACACUGACUGUUACUUAUCACCUUAUGAUCUUCUGGGUGCUUACAAACUGAUUGUUUGAUUAUUUGCUCCAUUAUCUUUCCAGAUACUGAAGUUAAGAUGACUGGUCUAUAAUUCCUGGGUAGUCCUUAUUCUCCUUUUCAUAGAUAGGUACUGUAUUUGCCCUUUUCCAGUCCUCGGGUACCUCUCCCAUCCUCCAUGACUUCUCAAAGAUAACUGCUAAUGGCUCAGAGAUAUCUUUAGCCAGUUCCUUAAGUAUUCUAUAGUUAUUUCAUCAGGCCUUGCCAACCUGAAGACACCUCACUUGUCUAAGUAAUUCUUAACUUUGUUCUUUUCCUAUUUUAGUAACAGAUCCCCUCCCACCCAUUUACACAAUCACUGCUAACUUUUUUGGUGAAAAUUGAAACAAAACAGGCAGUUAGCACUUCACCCAUUGCUAUGUUUUCUGCUGUCAUCUCUUCCCCUCUGCCUCCCACUGAGUAAUGGAUCUACCCUAUUCUUGGUCUUCCUCUUGCUUCUCAUGUAUUUUUAAUAUCUUUUCCUGUUUCACUUUAUUUCCCUAGCUAGUUUAAUCUCAUUUUUUGCCUUGGCCUUUCUAAUUUUGUCCCUACAGGCUUGCAUUGUUUUUUCAUAUCCACCCUCGUAAUUUGACCCAUCUCAACUUUUUGUAUGACUCUAACAUCUCCUUGUUAAGCCAGGUAUUCUCUUAACAAACUUUUUAUCUUUGAAAUUGCAUUGGGAUAGUUUGCUCUUGUGCCCUUAAUAAUGUUUCUUUUUAAAAAAACUGUCAAAUCUCCUGAAUUCCAUUUUCACUUACACUUGCUUCCCGAAGGCAUCUUACUUCCCAAUUCUCUGAGUAUGCUAAAUCUACCUUCUUGAAAUCCAGUGUCUUUAUUCUACUGUAAUGGUAGGCUCUGCAUAUUUGUGGGUGCAAAAGUUUGGACCCAAUGGAUUGUGGAUGCAAAAUUAUACAGUUAAGAACAAUGACCCUGAAUCUAUGGCCCAAUGCAUAUAUUUUAACCACUUUACUGCAAUCAAACAAUAUGCCAAUUCUAUGCACAUACUAUGUUGUGGAAUUUACUAAGUUUAUCCUAGCACCCCAUUUAAUGUAUUAAAAAAAAAAAAAAAGAAAAUAAAAAAAUCAAAUUGUACAAUGAAAAAAAGUUAAAAGUAUAUAUACACACACACACAUAUAUCUGUUCUUAAAUACUUAUUCUACUUUAAAAAUAUUAUUAUAGUUACAUACUUGCUGCUUGUGAUAGAAUAUCUUUUCUUUAAACAAUUUGAGGUGAUUCCCAAAAUGCUAAAAAUCACUUCAAUUUAGCCAACAAUUUGUUCAUACUUUAAGAUAAUUAAGGAUGGUAAUAAAAAAAUAAAACUGAAGAGAAAGUGAGGAAUUUGACCUUGAUGUUCACUUUGCAUGUACUGUUUAUACGAUGUGAAACACCUUAAAACCUGGUCUAUGUGCAAAGUUGUAUCAACAUAACCCACAACGCUUUUUAUAGCGAUUUGCUAAAAAACAGUGUCACUUUGUGUGUAGAUGCUCAUAUCAGUUUAAAUCUGGCUCAUGUCUGUUUACUUGUCGCACUAGCUAAACUGAUACUAGCCAGGUUAAAAACCUAUUUGAAUGUCCACACACAAAGUUACAUCAGUUUAACUAAACACUAUAAAUUAAACCAGUGCAAUUUUGUGUGUAGACUUGCCCUUAGUUAUAGUACCUUGCCAAAACUACAUAAAGAGUGCACAAAGCACAUUUACCUUUUAUUGUUACUCCUUCACUUAGUUUUCAAAAACAAUUCUUCAGAGUCCAAAUUAAGUGUUUGUAUGAGUUAAAGAAACUUACUGUUCACUAACAGAGUGAAGAACAUGCCCUAUUUUCUUUGGCCUGUCAUUAUUCUUAAUGAGAACACAGACAUAAAAUGAUAAAGGCUCUGGUUACUGCAGGGAUCAGGUGUUCAUGUGCAGAUUUUAAAUACUGCAUAAACAGGUUAAUAAAAAGAAACACUUUACUGGAUUAAAAUGCUAUGCAGAAGGCAUACAUGGCAGAUGGCACAGCUGAGCAACAUUUGCUGAAAGUUCUAACUAGGACCCAGCAGAUGAACCCAUUAGAAUCCCUGGACAGUACUUGUUUCUGACAACACUGAAAUCUUUUCAGAUUCUUAAGGCAUACAAAGUCAAAUGGAACAGUCAAUAAUUGACUAGUAAUUUAUGUUACAACUCAACUCUAGGAAGAGUCCAAGUGUCAGUUUCCUGUGCAGCAUAAUCAAUUAUUUUACAUAUGCAUUUUUCAUAAGAACAUAACUGCCAAACUGGGGCAGACCAGUGGUUCACCUAGCCCAGUGACCCACAUCACUUGUUGGAUUGAUAAGUAACAUUUUAAAAGCUUACUCUGGAAAAUUAGCUGUACAUUUCAACCUCCAAACAGCCAACUCUUUAUUAUGCCAUAAUUCACCAUAAUAAACACAUGUGUUGUACUUUAAAUUUAAUCUCUGAUUUUCCAAUGUACAUUGUUUUGGCCAAAUGAAUUCUUCCAUAAUUUCCGCCAAAUGCACCGAAAUCCAGAUAUUUUACUUUCGAGGCAAAACAAAAAAUCAAUUUCAGUUGUAACACCUAUAUUUGUUUAAAAAUAUAUUAUACUUUAAAAAUGGCUCUAAACGCUGGUUACACACCAUCUUGUGGCACUUUGAAUAAAAUGUUGUACAAAAAUGUAGAAUUAUGUUAAAUAAGAAAAUUUGGUAAAUUUCCCCUUGUCUGCUCUCAUUCAUAAGUUAUUCUCCGCCUUCUCAAAUUUCCCCACUAUUACUUCAUUUAUGUUCCAAUAAAUUGCAAUUUACAAUCCAGCAAGAACACAACCUAUAGUACUUGAAGCCAACUCCAUGUCAAAUGACCAAUGGGGAACUCAAUUAUUUAAACAUAAUAUUUUAAAAUAUUUUAAUUUACUGUCAAACUUACAUGCACAAAGGCAAAAAAAAUCAGAAUUAAACAUAAAAUUAGGGAUCACACAGCACAAAUAGUACUUAUACUUAAUACCUACUGCUUGAUGAAAAACAUUAAAAAUGACCUGCAGAGAAAUGAAAAGGUGUUUAUGUGUACGGGUGGAUUAAAGACCAAAACAUAUUUUUCUUGAUACCUCCACUCCCAAAAUAAAACACACUAGAUAUAUCAGUUCUUGAAUUCUCUAUUUCUGCUGGAGGACUACAGAACUGGGGGAAUAUGACAUCACAAAAAACAAGGAGACUUGACAGAAGCAAAAACAUAUGAGCAAGAAAUGUUUUUGUUGUUUUUAUUUUUUGUUGUUGUCAGUGUUUAAACUUUGUUUUUGCUGAUUUAUGAUGACACUUAUUUGAUUCAAACUCAGGCAAACACUUGAGAGAAAAAUGUCUCUGUUAAAUAUUCAAACACCCGUGGCCUUUCUACUGAAGUCAGAGAAACCUCCCACUCCAAUUCUCAAAAGAGUUCUCCCGCAAAAUGAGGGAAGACGUUCAUAAUAUUUCUUGGGGAACGAGGAAAUGAUUACCAAUCCCCUACCUCUCAACACUCUCAAACUUUCAUGCCUCAUUAUGAAUUAUAAAGAAGUAAAAACAGAAGUCAGAUUUUCCCCCUUUACAGGUCACCUCUUUAUUAAUUAAUCCUCUUUACAGCUCUAAACAGGAAAUAAUAAUCAUUAUCCCUAUUAUACAGAUGGAAAACUGCAGAGGAGAGAUGAAGAGUCUUGGCCAAUGUUAAUAUUAAACAAGUAGUAGAGCAAGGAUUCAAAAAACAGUAUUUGUUUACUCCAUCCUUUAUGCUCAUUCUUGGAACAAUACUAUCAGGGAUAGCCUAUCAGGGAUUAUCCAGCAUUACAGAGAACACUUAUAUUGCAUUAUUUGAGAAAUAGCAUGUAGCUUUAUAUUUAAACAACGUAUCACAACGUGUAAGUGUGUACAGUUAAUAUUGUGCAUUCUGGGCAUGAUGCUGAUCUUAUAUCAGUAAAAAUAUGAAGAAAAUUGAGGUUAGAAAAUCCAAAAUCAAUCUCUCAGAUGUUACUUUCUCAUUUCAUAACUUGGGUGCUUAACUAUCGAAGUUUAAAAGUGAGUUUAGUUGCAACACACACACACAUGCAGGCACACAGAGCAAAGCAGCACAAAUCAAUGAAAUUACCACAAUUUUAGAAACUUGUAAUUCAAUGGUCUGAACAUACAAUAAAAAAAUUACAUUGUUUGCUAGCGAUUUUUUUUGUUUGUUUGUUUUUUUUAGAAGUUUAAUAUCUAAAAUGCCUGCAGGCAACCGGGUUCCUUCCAAAACAGUAACCCAUUGUGGCUUCAUUUAAUUUUGAUUUGAAAAGCUUGAUGCAGCUUUUUUACAACUUUUGAUUAAAACUGUUUAAAUAAAAAAGUAAAUGUGUGACAUGGCAGUGGAGAUCUACAUAAACAAGUGAGGGGUAGAAAACAAAGUGUUUGAAGAUUUGGUUUGAAGAAGAAGCCAAAGUUUGUGAGAAACUCUUUGGCAGAGAAGUUUUGCUGGAUAAUUCACAAGACUCUCACCAGACAGUCAGCAGUUACUAGUUUCAGUCAGUCAUUACAAGAGAAUUAUCAAAAUGUAAGGUAAAUCUGCUUAGGGCAGAGCAAAGUACAUCUAAACAUGAAUGGCCUGAAAAUCAAAAAGGAAUCCUUCAAAAAGUGGAAACAUGGAAAAAUAGUCAGGUCCCCCUAUUGAGGGUCUUCCUCAAGCAACAGUAAGGCGGAGGGCUGAGGAGGAAUGUGUUUAUAAAACUAAAAAUUGGCACCGGACUUGAGGAAUGGAUAAAAGGCCAAAGCCUUCCUCAUGUCCAGAAAAUGCAGUCUUCUUUCCUCUUCUGAGGCAUGUGGUUUAGGAAAAAACCCAGGAAUGAUGCAGUAAAAAGGAGCUGAGGACAUGAAAGAUUCCAACGUAGACCAUGUGGUGGUAAGAAGCAACUGGUGAGGCAAUGGCCAUGAAAGCACGUGGACAACUAUGGCGCAUGUGUGGUCCAAUGUACAUUGCUUGCAAAAAAUUCCAGGCUCAGGUGCAUGGUGUGCGUGUGUAUCCCACAUGUGGAAUACACAAAGGGACUUCACUCAAAAAAGAAGAAUUUUUAUGGUUGGUAUCUUUCAGUAUAGUCUUUUAUUGCACACUUUGUCAUUUAUAUCGAGUUACAAAUGAAUUCUGUAAGUAUUCCCUCCACCCCCUGCUGUCCUGGCCAUAUCAGAUUACUGGAAAAUAUAGAAAGACAAAACCAAAAUAUGUUCGGGAGGAUGCGAAAGCCUUGUGCUUGUCUGUGCAUCCCCUCAUCGUACCAAAUAUGCCCUUGCCCACACCACAUCUCCUACCCUUCUCCUAAGCACAUUUGUCAUAAGCUUCUCUGGCACUUCUCACUUCUUUUGUCCAUAUUGUUUCCUCUCUUCUGUUUUGAGUCUUUUUCCUGUAACACACAUCUUUCCCUCUCCCAUCUGUCUUGUUUGGUUUCUUCAUUCUCCUUCAUUCAUACUUUAACUUUUUGUUUGUUUUUCUUUCUUCAACCCCCUCCUGUUCCGUGACUGACUCCCUCUAACAGCAUAUCUUUGUCCCCACUAUGUCUCCUAGUUGCUUCUCAUUCUCACCCAACCACACUCCUAACUCCUGGCUGCUAGACUUCCUAAUCCGUGAUUCCCUGCCUACAUCCUCUUUUGUUACUCCAGUCACCUACUCAGCUGAGCAGAACAACUAAAUUAAUCUAAUCAGAGGUGAAGCAUGAGAGUAGUAAGAACUUCAGAGCUAAUUAAAUUCACAUCCAAUCUCCACCUGCUCUGCUCCUCUCUUAUAGGAUUAGGAUAAUGAAAUUAAAUAGCUAGCCUGAGGAGAUAGGGCCAAGAAACAUAUUGGCACAGUCCUAAUAGUAACGCCAUAUUUUUCGUUGUUGCUAUUAAAUGUUUUCUCUUCCUGUUAUAUGUUUCGGUGGGAAGAUGUCAACAAAGAAUUUUCAAUUAUAUGUGAUCAAGACUUGAUGACUGUCUUUCUCUCAGGAUGGGAG